Molecule: ribosomal RNA, 481 nt
Filed under: uncultured bacterium
Lineage: Bacteria
Description: bacterial SSU rRNA
Rfam family: Bacterial small subunit ribosomal RNA
Source: RNAcentral
UUGAACGCUGGCGGCAUGCUUUACACAUGCAAGUCGAACGGCAGCACGGGAGCUUGCUCCUGGUGGCGAGUGGCGGACGGGUGAGUAAUGCAUCGGAACGUGUCCUAAAGUGGGGGAUAACGCAUCGAAAGGUGUGCUAAUACCGCAUAAACUCUGAGGAGGAAAGUAGGGGAUCGCAAGACCUUAUGCUUUUGGAGCGGCCGAUGUCUGAUUAGCUAGUUGGUAGGGUAAAGGCCUACCAAGGCUUCGAUCAGUAGUUGGUCUGAGAGGACGACCAGCCACACUGGGACUGAGACACGGCCCAGACUCCUACGGGAGGCAGCAGUGGGGAAUUUUGGACAAUGGGCGCAAGCCUGAUCCAGCAAUGCCGCGUGAGUGAAGAAGGCCUUCGGGUUGUAAAGCUCUUUCAGUCGAGAGAAAAGGUUGUGACUAAUACUCACAACUCAUGACGGUAUCGACAGAAGAAGCACCGGCUAACUAC